This 467-nucleotide ribosomal RNA is filed under the name uncultured bacterium. RNAcentral's name for it is "partial 16S ribosomal RNA". It matches the Rfam family "Bacterial small subunit ribosomal RNA", at positions 29 to 507 of the family's 1533-position model. The record is from RNAcentral.
ACGAACGCUGGCGGCGUGCUUAACCCAUGCAAGUCGCACGGAAAGGCCCUGCUUUUGUGGGGUGCUCGAGUGGCGAACGGGUGAGUAACACGUGAGUAACCUGCCCUUGACUUUGGGAUAACUUCAGGAAACUGGGGCUAAUACCGGAUAGGAGCUCCUGCUGCAUAGUGGGGGUUGGAAAGUUUCGGCGGUUGGGGAUGGACUCGCGGCUUAUCAGCUUGUUGGUGGGGUAGUGGCUUACCAAGGCUUUGACGGGUAGCCGGCCUGAGAGGGUGACCGGCCACAUUGGGACUGAGAUACGGCCCAGACUCCUACGGGAGGCAGCAGUGGGGAAUAUUGCACAAUGGGCGGAAGCCUGAUGCAGCAACGCCGCGUGCGGGAUGACGGCCUUCGGGUUGUAAACCGCUUUCGCCUGUGACGAAGCGUGAGUGACGGUAAUGGGUAAAGAAGCACCGGCUAACUACGUG